AUUAGAUAAAAAACCAAUGCCCUUCGGGGCUCCUUGGUGAUUCAUAAUAACUUAUCGAAUCGCAUGGCCUUGCGCUGGCGAUGGUUCAUUCAAAUUUCUGCCCUAUCAACUUUCGAUGGUAGGAUAGUGGCCUACCAUGGUGGCAACGGGUAACGGGGAAUUAGGGUUCGAUUCCGGAGAGGGAGCCUGAGAACGGCUACCACAUCUAAGGAAGGCAGCAGGCGCGCAAAUUACCCAAUCCCGAUACGGGGAGGUAGUGACAAUAAAUACUGAUACAGGGCUCUUUCGGGUCUUGUAAUUGGAAUGAGUACAAUUUAAGCACCUUAACGAGGAGCAAUUGGAGGGCAAGUCUGGUGCCAGCAGCCGCGGUAAUUCCAGCUCCAAUAGCGUAUAUUAAAGUUGUUGCAGUUAAAAAGCUCGUAGUUGAACCUUGGGUCUGGCUGGCCGGUCCGCCUCACCGCGUGCACUGGUCCGGCUGGAUCUUCCUUCUGGGGAGCCCCAUGGCCUUUAUUGGC
Molecule: ribosomal RNA, 515 nt
Filed under: uncultured fungus
Lineage: Eukaryota; Fungi
Description: SSU rRNA
Rfam family: Eukaryotic small subunit ribosomal RNA
Source: RNAcentral